Cavia porcellus (domestic guinea pig) is the source of this 125-nucleotide small nucleolar RNA. NCBI's taxonomy places the organism in Eukaryota, Metazoa, Chordata, Mammalia, Rodentia, Caviidae. The record is from Ensembl.
AUGGCCAUGAAUGAAGGCAGGCAGUUUUCUGAAGCUGUUGGUUUCAAGCAGGAGCCUAAAGAGGUAUCUUUCUAUGGUCUUUUGGCUGUUUCAGAACCUUUUUUUUUGGUAACAGAGCUCCAACU